UCUGUAGGUGGUUUGUUAAGUUGAAUGUUAAAUCUAUGGGCUCAACUCAUAGACCGCAUCCAAUACUGGCAGACUUGAGGAAGGAAGAGGUAAGCGGAAUUACCGGUGGAGCGGUGAAAUGCGUAGAUAUCGGUAGGAACACCAAUGGCGAAGGCAGCUUACUGGGCCUCUCCUGACACUGAGAGACGAAAGCGUGGGGAGCGAACGGAAUUAGAUACUCCGGUAGUCCACGCCGUAAACGAUGAUCACUAGCUGUUCGAGGUGUCGACCCCUUGAGUAGCGAAGCUAACGCGUUAAGUGAUCCGCCUGGGGAGUACGGUCGCAAGACUAAA
RNAcentral lists this ribosomal RNA (332 nucleotides) under uncultured bacterium. RNAcentral's name for it is "bacterial SSU rRNA". It matches the Rfam family "Bacterial small subunit ribosomal RNA", at positions 568 to 898 of the family's 1533-position model. The record is from RNAcentral.